This 503-nucleotide ribosomal RNA is filed under the name uncultured bacterium. RNAcentral's name for it is "partial 16S ribosomal RNA". It matches the Rfam family "Bacterial small subunit ribosomal RNA", at positions 30 to 523 of the family's 1533-position model. The record is from RNAcentral.
AUUGAACGCUGGCGGCAGGCUUAACACAUGCAAGUCGAGCGGGCGAGGUUGCUUCGGUAACUGAGCUAGCGGCGGACGGGUGAGUAAUGCUUAGGAAUCUGCCUAUUAGUGGGGGACAACAUUCCGAAAGGGAUGCUAAUACCGCAUACGUCCUACGGGAGAAAGCAGGGGAUCACUUGUGACCUUGCGCUAAUAGAUGAGCCUACGUCGGAUUAGCUAGUUGGUGGGGUAAAGGCCUACCAAGGCGACGAUCUGUAGCGGGUCUGAGAGGAUGAGCCGCCACACUGGGACUGAGACACGGCCCAGACUCCUACGGGAGGCAGCAGUGGGGAAUAUUGGACAAUGGGGGGAACCCUGGUCCAGCCAUGCCGCGUGUGUGAAGAAGGCCUUUUGGUUGUAAAGCACUUUAAGUGGGGAGGGGGCUUACCUGGUUAAUACCUGGGCUAAGUGGACGUUACCCACAGAAUAAGCACCGGCUAACUCUGUGCCAGCAGCCGCAGUAA